Molecule: long non-coding RNA, 447 nt
Organism: Suricata suricatta (meerkat)
Lineage: Eukaryota; Metazoa; Chordata; Mammalia; Carnivora; Herpestidae
Exons: 3
Source: RefSeq, a predicted model, not a curated record
AGGGAGACCAGAGCCGUCUCUCUGCCACGUGAGGACGCAGCGGGCCAGCCAGAAAGAGAGCGCUCCGCAGGGGCGGAGUCUUGUGACAUCUGGUCUUGGACUUGCCAGACACCAUGGCUGUGGAAACAAUGAUUGUUGUUUGAGCGGGUUGUCCAGGGCACUUUGUCACAGCUGCCCAAGCCGCCUGAUACACAGCCCUCACUGAUGUGGAGACGGAGGCUUAGCGAUGAGAAGAAACUGGCCUCUCCUGUUGUUUUGUGGCUGAGAAGCAGCAAAGUGGAUUCUAACUGGAGCCCUGGCUGGUACAGCCAACAUCAAAGCACUACAGUCAACAUCAAAGCCUGCGGCAAAUCUGGAUGUAUCAGUCUCAAAGGGCACAAGUACCUUUCACACACAGAAACAAUUUUUAAAAUACUUCAUUUUGGGGCACCUGGGUGGCUCCGUCCG